GACCCCAGCCUUCUAUUGCUAUGACAACCGCUUCUAUGAGGACAUAGGGAGUAAAGAAUUGAGUGUGGGGUUACAGAGGGAACACACCAGAGUCUCAAUGCAUUAGUGAUCUCAGAACUGUAUGAUAAUGAAGAAGAGAGAUAAUAUGUCUCUACCUUCGAAUCUCGAAGUAGGGGAGCAGGAUGGGACGCAGCAGGAGGUUAAAGAAGCUUGGGGAUCCCCAGGGGUAGAAAACCCCUCCUUUAACACCAUUGAUAUAUCCUUGACACCCAUCCACAGCUUCACUGAUGACCUAGGCUAUCAAGGGAGCCAGGACCUGACCAGCUUAUUUCUAGUGGGAAGAUCAUUUUGACCCAAAUCCAAGGAUAGCUGUAAGCAAGUUACAAUGUCA
This is a non-coding RNA of Odocoileus virginianus texanus, 391 nucleotides long. Lineage: Eukaryota; Metazoa; Chordata; Mammalia; Artiodactyla; Cervidae. The record is from RefSeq and is a predicted model, not a curated record.